Molecule: long non-coding RNA, 321 nt
Organism: Candoia aspera
Lineage: Eukaryota; Metazoa; Chordata; Lepidosauria; Squamata; Candoiidae
Exons: 2
Source: RefSeq, a predicted model, not a curated record
GGUCCUUUUACCACCACACCCAGAAAAGUGAAAUUGAUUAUGGAAAUAGGGGCAUUCCAUAAUGUCACUCAGAUACAUCUUACAACUUAGGAAGUUCCUUGUCAGUUUUUAUCAUGAGGAGACUUCUCCAGCAGCUCGGUGAAGAUGGACUGGAGCUUCUCCUUCCAAAUUUAGGAUAUCUUUCUCAACAAGAGCAGAAUAUACGGAAGCAUUAUAACUGAAGUUAUGCCAAUUGUCUUUUAUUUACUUGAUUAUGUAAAGGAGGCAAUGCUAAGUAUGAUACGGGUUGUGGUCUAUUACAUCAAAAACUUCUCUUUUUCC